UGACGCGCUACCAUGCAGUCGAGCGGAUGAAGGGAGCUUGCUCCUGGAUUCAGCGGCGGACGGGUGAGUAAUGCCUAGGAAUCUGCCUGGUAGUGGGGGAUAACGUCCGGAAACGGGCGCUAAUACCGCAUACGUCCUGAGGGAGAAAGUGGGGGAUCUUCGGACCUCACGCUAUCAGAUGAGCCUAGGUCGGAUUAGCUAGUUGGUGGGGUAAAGGCCUACCAAGGCGACGAUCCGUAACUGGUCUGAGAGGAUGAUCAGUCACACUGGAACUGAGACACGGUCCAGACUCCUACGGGAGGCAGCAGUGGGGAAUAUUGGACAAUGGGCGAAAGCCUGAUCCAGCCAUGCCGCGUGUGUGAAGAAGGUCUUCGGAUUGUAAAGCACUUUAAGUUGGGAGGAAGGGCAGUAAGUUAAUACCUUGCUGUUUUGACGUUACCAACAGAAUAAGCACCGGCUAACUUCGUGCCAGCAGCCGCGGUAAUACGAAGGGUGCAAGCGUUAAUCGGAAUUACUGGGCGUAAAGCGCGCGUAGGUGGUUCAGCAAGUUGGAUGUGAAAUCCCCGGGCUCAACCUGGGAACUGCAUCCAAAACUACUGAGCUAGAGUACGGUAGAGGGUGGUGGAAUUUCCUGUGUAGCGGUGAAAUGCGUAGAUAUAGGAAGGAACACCAGUGGCGAAGGCGACCACCUGGACUGAUACUGACACUGAGGUGCGAAAGCGUGGGGAGCAAACAGGAUUAGAUACCCUGGUAGUCCACGCCGUAAACGAUGUCGACUAGCCGUUGGGAUCCUUGAGAUCUUAGUGGCGCAGCUAACGCGAUAAGUCGACCGCCUGGGGAGUACGGCCGCAAGGUUAAAACUCAAAUGAAUUGACGGGGGCCCGCACAAGCGGUGGAACAUGUGGUUUAAUUCGAAGCAACGCGAAAACCUUACCUGGCCUUGACUGC
This 948-nucleotide ribosomal RNA is filed under the name Pseudomonas aeruginosa. Its description in RNAcentral is "bacterial SSU rRNA". It matches the Rfam family "Bacterial small subunit ribosomal RNA", at positions 40 to 988 of the family's 1533-position model. The record is from RNAcentral. Lineage: Bacteria; Pseudomonadati; Pseudomonadota; Gammaproteobacteria; Pseudomonadales; Pseudomonadaceae.